UUUUUUUAUGUAUGAUUGGUUAUCUUUGCAAGUCUCUUCGAAUUAUCAGUUUGGUUUGGCCUACUAGAUUGAUCUUUCUUGCAAUGGGAGAACUGCUUAGCUUUGGGUUCAAUCUUGCGGUGUCCUUUCCCGGUGACAGUAAGGGCAGCAAGGCACGUAUUGUAUUGUUGCCAUCGAGGAUAACAAGAUGGGGUUUUCUUCAUAUUACAUGAGUAUAUCCCUCUACAUCAUGUCAUCUUGCUUAAGGCGUUACUCUGUUUUUAACUUAAUACUCUAGAUGCAUGCUGGAUAGCGGUCGAUGAGUGGAGUAAUAGUAGUAGAUGCAGGCAGGAGUCGGUCUACUUGUCUCGGACGUGAUGCCUAUAUACAUGAUCAUACAUAGAUAUUCUCAUAAGUAUGCUCAAUUCUAUCAAUUGCUCAACAGUAAUUUGUUCACCCACCAUGGAAUAAUUAUGCCCUCGAGAGAAGCCACUAGUGAAACCUAUGGCCCCGGGGUCUAUCUUUAUCAUAUCAAUCUCCUACUACUUAGUUAUUUACUUUGCUAUUUACCUUGCCUUUAUUUUUACUUUGCAUCUUUAUCAUAAAAAGACCAAAAAUAUUAUCUUAUCAUAUCUACCAGAUCUCACUCUCGUAAGUGGCCCCAUAGGGAUUGACAACCCCUAUUUGCGUUGGUUGCUAGGAUUUAUUUGUUUUGUGCAGGUACGAGGGACUCGCGCGUAGCCUCCUACUGGAUUGAUACCUUGGUUCUCAAAAACUGAGGAAAAUACUUUCGCUACUUUGCUGCAUCAUCCCUUCCCCUUCGGGGAAAACCAACGCAGUGCUAAAAGAGGUAGCAAGAAUGAUUUCUGGCGCCGUUGCCAGGGAGGUCUACGCAAAAGUCAACAUACCAAGUACCCAUGUGUGAUGGCCUGGCUUAUUAGGGAUGAUAGACUACUCAUAUCAAUAAGGAAUUCCUUCUUUUCCGGGAUCCCAUUCGGACAGAACUCCAAAGUUAAGCGUGCUCAGCUUGGAGUAGUGUCAGGAUGGGUGACCGACCGGGAAGUUGCUCCCGGGUGCGCACGAGUGAGGACAAAGUGCGCAGAAAAGACUAGUAUUGAUCUGUGAGGCCAGUCUAGAUCCCGCCAGGAGUAACGACCACCGGCGGGUGUGUCCGGGGCAUUACAAGUUGGUAUCAGAGCUGACCCUCGCGGUUACACGGAUGGUUGCGGACAGGUGCGUGGUCAUGUUGUUCAUGAUGUUUGUGACCCGUCGUGGCACACGACAUGGCACAUGUACUGGACUGGAAGCACAGACGUAUGUGCCAAGAGGGAACGUUCUUGUGGCCCGACGAGGACGUCGGUUCCUCUAAGUGGGGGUGUAUGUGAUGGCCUGGCUUAUUAGGGAUGAUAGACUACUCAUAUCAAUAAGGAAUUCCUUCUUUUCCGGGAUCCCAUUCGGAUAGAACUCCAAAGUUAAGCGUGCUCAGCUUGGAGUAGUGUCAGGAUGGGUGAUCGACCGGGAAGUUGCUCCCGGGUGCGCAUGAGUGAGAAAAAAGUGCGCAGAAAAGACUAGUAUUGAUCUGUGAGGCCAGUCUAGAUCCCGCCAGGAGUAACGACCACCGGCGGGUGUGUCCGGGGCGUUACACCAUCACAUACCCUUAUCUCCCGUAUUACAUUAUUUGCCAUUUGCCUCUCGUUUUCCUCUCCCCCACUUCACACUUACCGUUUUAUUUGCCCUAUCUCUCUCCAUCCUCCCUCUAUUUGCCUCUUUUUGCCCGUUUGCUUUUUGUUUGCUUGUGUGUUAGUUUGCUUGCUUGUCACGAUGGCUCAAGAUAAUACUAAAUUGUGUGACUUCACCAAUACCAACAACAAUGAUUUUAUUAGCACUCCGAUUGCUCCUCUUACCGAUGCUGAAUCUUGUGAAAUUAAUACUGCUUUGCUGAAUCUUGUCAUGAAAGAUCCGUUCUCCGGCCUUCUUGGUGAAGAUGCCGCUACUCAUCUAAAUAGCUUUGUUGAUUUGUGUGACAUGCAAAAGAAGAAAGAUGUGGAUAAUGAUAUUGUUAAAUUGAACCUAUUUCCUUUUUCGCUUAGAGAUCGUGCUAAAGCUUGGUUUUCGUCUUUGCCAAAAAAUAGUAUUGAUUCAUGGAACAAGUGCAAAGAUACUUUUAUCUCUAAGUACUUUCCCCCCGCUAAGAUCAUCUCUCUUAGAAACGAUAUUAUGAAUUUUAAGCAACUUGAUCAUGCACAUGUUGCACAAGCUUGGGAGAGAAUGAAGUUAACGAUAUGUAAUUGCCCCACUCAUGGUUUAAAUUUGUGGAUGAUUAUACAAAUUUUUUAUGCCGGAUUGAAUUUUGCUUCUAGAAAUCUUUUAGAUUCGGCCGCAGGAGGCACUUUUACGGAAAUCACUUUAGGAGAAGCUACUAAACUCGUAGAUAAUAUUAUGGUUAAUUAUUCUCAAUGGCAUCCUGAAGGAUCUACUAAUAAAAAGGUGCAUGUGAUAGAAGAAAUUAAUGUUUUGAGUGGAAAGAUGGAUGAACUUAUAAAAUUAUUUGCUAAUAAGAGUGUUUCUUCUGAUCCUAAUGAUAUGCCCUUGUCUACUUUGAUUGAAAGUAAUAAUGAACCUAUGGAUGUGAAUUUUGUUGGUAGGAAAUUUUUUGGUAACAACGCGGAUAGAGGAAAUUUCAAUCCUAGGCCUUACCCUAGUAAUCCCUCUAAUAAUUAUGGUAAUUCCUACAAUAAUUCUUAUGGAAAUUAUAAUAAUAUGCCCUCUGAUUUUGAAUAUAAUAUUAAAGAAUUUAUUACUUCGCAAAAGAAUUUUAAUGCUAUGAUUGAAGAAAAAUUGCUUAAGAUUGAUGAUUUGGCUAGGAACGUUGAUAGAAUUGCUCUUGAUGUUGAUUCUUUGAAACUUAGAUCUAUUCCACCUAAGCAUGAUAUCAAUGAGUCUCUCAAAGCCAUGAGAAUUUCCUUUGAUGAGUGCAAAGAAAGAACCACUAGGAUGCGUGCUAAGAAAGAUGCCUUUAUAAAAGCGUGUUCUUCUAGUUCCUAUGAAAAUAACGAUGAAGAUAUAAAAGUUAUUAAUGUGUCCCCUAUUACAUCUUUGUUUUGCAAUAUGAAUCUUGAUAAUGAUGGGACUGAAUAUGAUCCACCUUUACCUAGAAGGCAUUCCAAGAAUUCUGAAUCUUUUGAUCUUCAUGCUAAAUUUGAUAAAAGUGGGAUUGAAGAAAUUAAAACCCUAGAUGUUGCUAAACCCACUAUUAUGGACUUCAAGGAAUUUAACUAUGAAAAUUGCUCUUUGAUUGAUUGUAUUUCCUCAUUGCAAUCCGUGCUAAAUUCUCCUCAUGCUUAUAGUCAAAAUAAAGUGUUUACUAAACAUAUCGUUGAUGCCUUGAUGCAACCUUAUGAAGAAAAACUUGAAUUGGAAGUUUCUAUCCCUAGAAAACUUUAUGAUGACUGGUAACCAACUAUUAAAAUCUAUAUCUAUAUCUAUACCUAUAUUAAUUACAGACUUCCUAAAAAAUCCCACGUUAAUCAGUAAUUAGGAACCGUUUAUCUGGUGGGACCAACUUAUUACGGUGUAGAUCUACGCAUCUAAUAACAUCUAACCAUCAAUGAGCCGAUGAAAAAACAUUAAAAGAGACUCCUCCACGCCUCUCCACCCAUGUGUGCUUAGCGAUCCCUUCUCUUCCCCAUAUGUCCAUGGUCCCUGAAAAAUAGGAAAAACCAAUCUACCGCACAGCUAGAAAACCUCAAGAUCCUGCAAAAAAAGUCUAGGUCGGUUCUUCCUCAAAAGUGUGCUCACGCUCCCAAUCCCCCCAACUGAUCUAUUGCAAUUGGCACGUUGCUAUUGCAGCUCCUCCGCCGCUUCAUGUCGCCCUUCGUAACUUCAUGCCAUCAUCCACUUUGAAGAUCCGCAUGGUGCUGCAAUUCGUCCAAGGAGUAAGGGUUCAACCAGAUUCCCAUCCAAUCCAUCUCCAACUCUUCCUACUGACCAUGUUCUACUCAUACCUUCGCUGCUUCCAGGUAGGGAAGCUCGAAUCCAGCAAAAAAAACUUAAUUAGUAAUUAGGCAAUGGAGUGAAGGAAGGGUGAUCUUAUCCCAACGCCCAAACCUUGUUCGAUUUCAUCUGUGGCCGAUUCGUACGCCCAUCCACAAGCAAGUAACUCUCUUCUCUUCCUUGAUGAUUUCCUCCUCUGUUCUCCUCCUUGACGAAUUCAUCUGAGAGCCCCCAAAUAAUUUUGCUUUAUCCGUGAUCUCUCAUCAAGGAAAAAACUGCUUUGUAUAUGUGUUUCACAUCACAACGCUUACGAGAUUAAGAAAUAUAGGAAGCGAUGAAGAAUGGGCCAUGUAAGAUAAUCUGCUACUUCUUUGGUGCCAACCUGCAGUAAGCUACCGUGGUACAUACAUGUAGAAAUCAAUCACUGCCAACAAGUUCUGUUUAAUGUUUAUAGAAGCUUCAUAUAUAGAUGUUCUCCAUAUUUAGAUGAUGCAUGUUGUUUCUUCCUGUAUGUGCUAACUCAGAUUAUCUGCAUGUUUUAACAAAGAAUCCUUCUCUCCAAGAUUAAGAAAAAUGUAUGAUACCUUAUUGACUUCGCAUAUUUGGCUGUACUUUGGACAAUUAAUAUAUUUUCCAACUUCUAGAUUUCUUAAAAUCAUAUCUAGAGUGAAUAAUAUUUUCUUGAUAUAUUUGUAAGAACUUAGUAUUUUUGUCUGUGCAAAUAUUUAGCUUCAUGUAUGGCUUAUUGAGUUACACAUGUUUCUACAUAUAGUUCAUUUGUUGUAUUUGGAAACUGAUCUAGGUAGAUAAUCUUUUUAGUACAAAAAAAUCAUAUUAAGUUUUCUUUCAAUUGUAAUAACCGAGUCCAUAUCAUCUUUUUUGAUUUUAAUAAUUUGGUUGAUCUUUACUUCGUAGUUACAAUAUUCAGAUAUCAUAUAUAGCUGCCACUUACAGAAAAUAUGGUAAGGAUUUUCCAGCUAAACUUUCAAAGUGUCCUCAUAGUGAUUUUCAUGUUUAUAGAAAUGGGUUAUGCAUAGUGAUAUUCUUCAGUUGGCACCUCAAUAUGCUCUCUUUAAAUUAGUAGAUUUGUGUUGUUCAAUUAUGUGUAGCAGAAUAUUGACGCAUGCUUCUAGAUCUACUUCAUUGAACAAUACUGUGGAGUCUGCACUAGCAUCUAACAAAAAAAUCUAUGGUGGAACUUACACAAUAACCUAACAUCUUAUGCAGAUUACAUGUAGGAUUUACAAUCUUUGCCUCAAAUCAUUAAAUGGGUUUAGCUACUGUGAGUUCCAGUAUGGUCGUUUAUUGAUCACAAAGAAAUUGCUUCUGCCAUUGGAAGUAUGACAUGAGUCCUGACUUCUGCAGGUAAGGAAUUGACUCACUUGGUAGUUUUCUAGCUGUUUGAGUUUAUCUUCCUGUUGCCACAAAUUACAUUACUAUUAUUUUCUACAAACCAGUGUAGGAAUCUGUAGUUUCUCCAUGGUGGUAAAAAGUGAAGGAGUUCUCUUGAUAUUCCCCAUCACUUUUCAUAACAGAAUGUGCAUCUUAUCUUCACUGAUAUAAACAAUCUCGGUAAGAAUCCUCUAUCUUCAAACAAACCUCUAACACCAUGGAUCAUUGUUUCAAAAUGUNNNNNNNNNNNNNNNNNNNNNNNNNNNNNNNNNNNNNNNNNNNNNNNNNNNNNNNNNNNNNNNNNNNNNNNNNNNNNNNNNNNNNNNNNNNNNNNNNNNNNNNNNNNNNNNNNNNNNNNNNNNNNNNNNNNNNNNNNNNNNNNNNNNNNNNNNNNNNNNNNNNNNNNNNNNNNNNNNNNNNNNNNNNNNNNNNNNNNNNNNNNNNNNNNNNNNNNNNNNNNNNNNNNNNNNAACUAGCAAGUAAUCUAUAUUUUCUUUGUUAUUAUAUUUUCUGUUUGUCCUAUGUACUAAUUCAUGUAUCUCACUUUCCACUAUUUUUAAUACGAAUCAAACCCCUCACGCAUAUAUGUUUCUUGCAUAUUUCAGACUGAAUUAGAAGUAAAACCACAUUGACAUAAGUACGAAUGAUGAUGCACUUAUCAGAUGUUAAGAUGAUACUACUGCACAAACAAUGUACAAACUGUAAGAAAGCUUUCAAACAUUGUUAAACUUAUUAGCCAAUGAUAAUAUAUUUUUUGACGAAUAGGUUGCUGAGCCGACAUAAACCAUAACUCCACACUAAUGUGCUUAUCUUACAAAUGAUUUGUCUUGAUAAAUUCUUCGAUCUCAAUCUUACAAAUGGAAAGAGUCAUGGGCCCUCAGCAAAGUCACUUUUUUCUACACCACUAGCCAGUUUGAUAUAAAUAGAUUGUGUUUGUGAAUUUUUUGGAUGGUACUGCCCGAGUACCAAUCUUUUUGUUUGAAAACUAAAAAAGAUUUAGGCGAACCUUUAGUCUCUCUUUUGUGCACCGAAGGAGAAUUUUGUUGGGUAGGGUUGCAUCACACAAUCUUAUAUGUUGUCGACCAUUGUUACCUGUACAUGAUGCUACUUCAGAAAAUUAGUAAUUAAUAUAUACAUCUAUAUAUGUAUAUAUUUCAAAUUUAUAAUCCAAGAUACUGUGAUGUAACUAGCUCGUGCGAUGCAAUAUAUUAGUAAUUUAUAAGCUGUCUAUUUAUCAAUAUGUUGUUGCUUGCUUGCUGGGCCAGAACUGCCUUGGUUGCAGCGCUCAGCAGGACAUUAUCCCCACAAAAUUGAAACUACGGGUUCAUGGCAAUAGUCGACCUACCAUGAUUGUCUCGCGUGGCCUAUUUCCACAUGUGUGGCUGCAAGAUCAAGAUUAUGGUGUAGGUCAUUGUCGUGGCCGUGUACAUUGGCCAAGGCACCAAUAUCAUUCUCAAUUGUCCCCGCAAAACAAAUGUCAUUCUCAAGUGAUUGAGGUUGACAUUCGAACCAAGGAGCAUGAACUCACAUGAUAUAACCGAUCCAUGGACUGUAUUCAUGUGCCCAACAUGUGUCCAAUGCCUAACCGGAAUUCAAGCCAACAAGGACGCCAGCAUAUAAUGAUUAUCUUUAUGGCGCUCUUCAUACCCAUGGAUACAUGACAAUUUCCAAUGCCUAAUAGGAAUUCAAGAUCAACAAGGACGUCAGCAGAUAAAUUAUGUCUUUAACAAAACCGGUAACAUUGACUUCGCCGAGACCGGCCUGAGCAUGCCGUUUCACAGAAAAGUCUCACUAUUUGAUUAAGAAUUUUUAGUGUUAAUCCUGGUACACUAACUAAGACUGAGAGGAAACACUCGCAUGUAUGCUUCUGUCCGUAACCUGUAUGCUGCUUUGAUGUCAAUAGAGAAAGAGGAGCUCUGGACUAGGCAUUACAUGCUGGACACCAUGGACUGAAAACAUGAGACAUGGAUUGACACGGGAACGAUGUAUUACAAUUCCGUUUCCCAUAUAAUCUAAAAGGAUGAGUUGGGCUUCCUUUCAUGAGCUUCUUUUCUGUAAGGUUCAUGUAUAGAGAAAGAAGAACCAAAUAUAAAC
Molecule: long non-coding RNA, 7458 nt
Filed under: Triticum aestivum (bread wheat)
Lineage: Eukaryota; Viridiplantae; Streptophyta; Magnoliopsida; Poales; Poaceae
Description: long non-coding RNA (TAES_LNC022928)
Source: RNAcentral